This 326-nucleotide ribosomal RNA is filed under the name uncultured bacterium. Its description in RNAcentral is "bacterial SSU rRNA". It matches the Rfam family "Bacterial small subunit ribosomal RNA", at positions 28 to 336 of the family's 1533-position model. The record is from RNAcentral.
GACGAACGCUGGCGGCGUGCCUAAUACAUGCAAGUUGAACGCAACAAAGACACCAGAGCUUGCUCUACCGUUUUUGUUGAGUAGCGAACGGGUGAGUAACGCGUGGGUAACCUGCCUUAUAGCGGGGGAUAACUAUUGGAAACGAUAGCUAAUACCGCAUAACAAUAGAGAUUGCAUAAAUCUUUAUUUGAAAGUGCCAACUGGUACACUAUGAGAUGGACCCGCGUUGUAUUAGCUAGUUGGUAGUGUAAUGGACUACCAAGGCGAUGAUACAUAGCGACCUGAGAGGGUGAUCGGCCACAUUGGGACUGAGACACGGCCCAAAA